This 4157-nucleotide long non-coding RNA is filed under the name Setaria italica (foxtail millet). Its description in RNAcentral is "long non-coding RNA (SITA_LNC004937)". Lineage: Eukaryota; Viridiplantae; Streptophyta; Magnoliopsida; Poales; Poaceae. The record is from RNAcentral.
UUUUUUAGAGAUGUAUGGGUUACAACUCCCAUCUAUGUGAUAGUCAACUUUUCCCCUUCCAAUGUUAAAGCUACUCAACCACGACCCCCAAUCAUCUCUGGUGAGCUCAGCUUGUCUAACUGCCUAAUCGGAUACCAAUAUUACAGAUUUACAGUCAACCUGUGUUCACGCUGGAGUUGUACGUUGGAUCACGGUUCCCACUGUGUGAGCACUGUUAUUUUUGUAGGAAUGAAAUUCCAUUAAACUAAGGACUCACUUCCUUGCGCUGCCAUAAUAUGUGAUUUGUUACAUAGCCUAGGAAAAUAACUAAAUCAGUAGCUAAUAAAAUUCAGACUCAAAAGGUUCAAUUUGUUGGCCCAAAAUGAUCUUUUCCAUUAACCACACCCACAAAGGCAGCUUGGGGUACAUAUUUAUAGCCAACCUUGGGUGGGUGGCUCACAAGCUAAGCAGAGCAUCUAAAGCAGUAGUUGGUGAUAAGGUGCACGUAGGCACGAACCACCCACAGAUACAAGUGCUCACAGGCACUAAGUGCAUACAGGCACUACUAUACAUUAUUCUAUCACCAUCAGGACUUAACUCUAACAUUCUCCCCCUAAGUCCUGAAAGGCAAACAAACCAUCCUAAGUCUGGUUCGGAGUUCUUGGAACUUGACUCUUCCUGAGUGUUGAUGUAGUUGCCUUGACGCUCCCUUCCUCCAAGCAGCCGCUUCAUGGAAGACAGGGUUCUUCGCAAGGCUUAAGCAGACUUGCUAUCUGGCAUCCAUCUACAUCGCGCUGCGCUAGGCCGCAUGUCCCUCAGCCUCAGCGAAGGAGCGAGGACUCGUCGUCGUCGCGCGUAAGGUGAAGCACGGCCUCGAGGUCAUGAGGCACCCGUCCCUGCACCGGCUAGUCGCCAAGAAUGUCCGCCAUGGUGCGGUACCGCAGUGGCUCGCCAUCGUGGUACGUGUUGACGCGGUCCUUGUCGUGAGGGAGCAAAGUGGCGAACUCCACCGAGCAGGGCUCAUUGUGAGCCGGUGUUGACGAAGUAGUGCUCGGAGGAGUGGCCGUCGGUGCUGGAGUGUGGCGUGGCCGGCUGUGGUGGUGGCGGUCGGGCGCUCGCCGUGCACGGAGUACUCGCCGGAGUCGGUGGAGGACUCACCGGCGCCGGUGAAGAGCUUGCCGUAAUCGGUGGAGACCCGGGGAUGAGGGUAGGCACGCUUGGCGAAGAAGAGCUGCCGACUCCCCCAGCUUCCUCAAAGUGGACGUAGUCGCUGUACGUCGAAGUCGAGCUGCCGUCCACCAUCUUGCCCUGCACCAUCUCCUUGGUGUCGAGCUAUUCCACCUCCGCGUAGAGGACGUAGAGGUUGUUCUUCCCCCUAUCCACCUUGGCGAGGAGGUGGCGUCAUCAAUCCCGGAUGCGGAGCAUUCCGCUGUCGAUCUCCACGUGCGACCCAUUCUCAUCCAGCUGCUCGAGGCUGAUGAUCGAGUUCCUCAGUGCGGGAAUGUAGUAGACAACGGUGAGGAGCCGGUGCUCACCAGUCUUGGCGACGAGAACGACGGAGCUGACACCCUUGAUCUCCAAGGCCGAAGAGUCGCCAAACUUGACGGAGCCGCGCACAUCGACGUUCAAGUCGGAGAAGUACUCCCGGCGCCCGAUCAUGUGGUGUGUGGCACCAGUCUAGGAACCAGCCGUCGAUCUUGUCGCUGGUACCCUCGUCGAGGGAGACGUGCGCGCAGCUCGUCGAGGUGGAGGAGAGCCGUCGCGGCCGAUGCCGCGAGAAGAAGCUCAAUGGUCCCGUGAGCUAGGAACAGAGUUGGCUCCUCAUCCUCCGCAGCCUGCGCAACGUGGGCCUGGCCGUGCCUUGGCUUGUGGCACUUCUGGCCCAAUGGCCAGUCUUGCCACAGUUGUGGCAGGUGUCGUCUUGUGCGGCCUCGCACUCACUGGUGACGGCACCCACGGCGCCUCCUUGCGCCUUGUGCGGCUUGCCGCGCUUGGCGGCCGCCUGUCAAGGAAGAAGACUCCCCCUUCUUCCGCUCCCUUUGGCGAGCAAGCCACUUCUCCUCAGUGAGGUGGAGCUUGCCACCGAUGGUGAUAGGCUCACUAGGCGUCAGCUCCUCGUGGUCCUUGAUCGCCUUGAGCCACCGUGUCGGCUCCUUUCUUGACAACGCUAAGAGGUCGAGUAGCGUCUCGAUGGAGAUAGCGAGCUACGAAUACUUUUUUGGAACGGCGUGCAAAAACUUUGCAACAGCUUUCUCCUCGUUGAUCUCGUCGUCGCUGUACCGCUCUAGCCGCUGCAUCAGGCUAGAGAGGCGGAGGGCGAAGUUGUCGACAUCCUUGCCCGGCUUGAAAGCCAAACGAUCCCACUCCAGCUGAACCUUCUUCAAAGUGGACUUGCCGGCGCGGUCGCUGCCAACUCGGGCAGCAGCGAUAGCGUCCCAAGUGGCCUUCGCGGUCUUCUUCCCUGAGAGGUUCGCCGUCAUCUCCAUCGGGACUGCGGUGAGCAGCGCCUCAAGCGCUCACCAGUCCUCGUGACUGUCGAAGUCGAUGUACUGGACCGCGUCCCACAUCUCCCGCACCUGGAGCUUCACCUUCAUCACCGUGGACCACUCCAUGUAGUUGGUCUUCAUCAACAUCGGCCACUGCGUGCUGCCGACGGACUCCCGGAUGAUGGUCUUCAUGACCUUCGGGGGUUGGUGCCCGUAGUCGAGGUCGGAGUCGAGGCCAGACUCGUGGACGGAGCUCCUCCUGUUCCGAGGACGCCCGCCGUCCGCGCCUCGACGCAGGUCCUGGACCCACCGGUCCACCUUCACGUUUCGCCGUCGGUUCGCCUCCUUCGGCUCAGGACGGCCGCCUUCCGCCUCGGCACCGGCGCCCUGCGCCGCAUGCCUUAGCUCCUCCUUGUCGUGCCACGCCAUCUCGCGCAUCGCCUCCGCCUCCUCACACAGCCGGUCCGCCUCCAGACGUCGCUGGGUAGCGGCCGCCGUUGCCGCCUAUGCCUCCUCGUCAGCGAGGCGGGCUGCCUUGGCUGCACGUGCCGCUGCGGUCUCCAUAGCCGCCACGCGUGCUGCCCGAGCCACAACCACCUCCCGCGCCUCGGCGUCGCGCAAGCUGCCGCGCGCUGCCGGUCCUCUCGCCUCGCGGCCUCCGUCUGCCGCUCCUCCUCGCGUGCCGCAGCUGCACGCCUUGCCCGGCACCGCUCCGCCAUUGCCUCCUCGACCGCCAUGCGCCGCUCCUCCUCCUCACGCCGCCGCUCCUCGGCCACCACCCUGCGGCGUCGUGCACUCGAAGUAAUCGAGCUGCUCGAGGAAGAGACGCGAGGAGGUCUGGGAGCGGGACGGGAGCGCCGACACCUUGCCGGCCGGCGGUGGCGCGUCGGCUGCCAGGCCCACGGGGCCCGCGCCCUGCGCGCCGGCGCCGCUCGCGGGGUUCGCACCGCCCAGUGCGCUCGUGCUGCUCACCAGCGCCUGCCACCUUGAGUCGGCCAUUGGGAGUCGAAGGGAGAAGGUGAGGAAGCCGCCGGGAAAGGGAGCUGCCGCCGCUUGGGCUGGAUCCACCCUGCCGCGCUUGAUUCGCGGCUGCAAGGUCCGAUCUGCUACCGCCCGCCGGAUCCUUGCGCGGGGAUGGUAGAGGAGGUGAGCCCGCCGAAUCCGCCCCAGGGAGGAGCGCGCCGCUGCCGCCGGGUAGGUGGGCCUGGCUAGGGUUUCGGGAGAGGUGGGGAGCACGGGGUGAGAGAGGAAGAGAGGUAGGUGGGAAAGAAUUAGGCUCUAGAUACCAAUUGUUGCCCCAAAAUGAUCUUUUCCAUUAACCACACCCACAAAGGCAGCUUGGGGUACAUAUUUAUAGCCAACCUUGGGUAGGUGGCUUACAAGCUAAGGAAAGCAUCUAAGCAUCUAAAGCAGUAAUUGGUGAUAAGGUGCACGUAGGCAUGAACCACCCACGGAUACAAGUGCUCACAGGCACUACUAAUACAUUAUUCUAUCACCAUCAGGACUUAACUCUAACACAAUUUACAGAGCAAACCACCAAUUGAAGAUAGUUCAGAAGCUGAUGUUUCCACUCCUUGCUUGACUCAGCAUUUGGGCUCAUUAUAUCGACGAAUCCACAUGAUAUGGCAGCAGUUACCCUUUGUAUACCAAUCAGCUCGCACACAUGGGAUCUAGAACCCAAAUCCAACUUCG